This 493-nucleotide ribosomal RNA is filed under the name uncultured bacterium. RNAcentral describes it as "partial 16S ribosomal RNA". It matches the Rfam family "Bacterial small subunit ribosomal RNA", at positions 29 to 507 of the family's 1533-position model. The record is from RNAcentral.
ACGAACGCUGGCGGCGUGCUUAACCCAUGCAAGUCGAACGGUGAAGCGCCUUCCUUUUUGGUGGGUGUGGAUGAGUGGCGAACGGGUGAGUAACACGUGAGUAACCUGCCCCCUUCUUCUGGAUAACCGCAUGAAAGUGUGGCUAAUACGGGAUAUUCUGGGUCUGUCGCAUGAUGGGUCUGGGAAAGAUAUUGUUUCGGUGGGGGAUGGGCUCGCGGCCUAUCAGCUUGUUGGUGGGGUGAUGGCCUACCAAGGCGGUGACGGGUAGCCGGCCUGAGAGGGUGGACGGUCACACUGGGACUGAGACACGGCCCAGACUCCUACGGGAGGCAGCAGUGGGGAAUAUUGCACAAUGGGCGCAAGCCUGAUGCAGCGACGCCGCGUGAGGGAUGGAGGCCUUCGGGUUGUGAACCUCUUUCGCCAGUGAAGCAGGCCUGCCUCGUUUGUGGGUGGGUUGACGGUAGCUGGAGAAGAAGCGCCGGCUAACUACGUG